AUUGAACGCUGGCGGCAGGCCUAACACAUGCAAGUCGAACGGUAACAGGAAACAGCUUGCUGUUUCGCUGACGAGUGGCGGACGGGUGAGUAAUGUCUGGGAAACUGCCUGAUGGAGGGGGAUAACUACUGGAAACGGUAGCUAAUACCGCAUAACGUCGCAAGACCAAAGAGGGGGACCUUCGGGCCUCUUGCCAUCGGAUGUGUCCAGAUGGGAUUAGCUAGUAGGUGGGGUAACGGCUCACCUAGGCGACGAUCCCUAGCUGGUCUGAGAGGAUGACCAGCCACACUGGAACUGAGACACUGUCCAGACUCCUACGGGAGGCAGCAGUGGGGAAUAUUGCACAAUGGGCGCAAGCCUGAUGCAGCCAUGCCGCGUGUAUGAAGAAGGCCUUCGGGUUGUAAAGUACUUUCAGCGGGGAGGAAGGGAGUAAAGUUAAUACCUUUGCUCAUUGACGUUACCCGCAGAAGAAGCACCGGCUAACUCCGUG
Molecule: ribosomal RNA, 490 nt
Filed under: uncultured bacterium
Lineage: Bacteria
Description: partial 16S ribosomal RNA
Rfam family: Bacterial small subunit ribosomal RNA
Source: RNAcentral